RNAcentral lists this ribosomal RNA (854 nucleotides) under Bacillus sp. D-18(2014). Its description in RNAcentral is "bacterial SSU rRNA". It matches the Rfam family "Bacterial small subunit ribosomal RNA", at positions 71 to 905 of the family's 1533-position model. The record is from RNAcentral. Lineage: Bacteria; Bacillati; Bacillota; Bacilli; Caryophanales; Bacillaceae.
AUUAAAAGCUUGCUCUUAUAAACUUGGCGGCGGUCGGGUGAGUAACACGUGGGUAACCUGCCCAUAAAACUGGGAUAACUCCGGGAAACCGGGGCUAAUACCGGAUAACAUUUUGAACCGCAGGGUUCGAAAUUGAAAGGCGGCUUCGGCUGUCACUUAUGGAUGGACCCGCGUCCCAUUAGCUAGUUGGUGAGGUAACGGCUCACCAAGGCAACGAUGCGUACCCAACCUGAGAGGGUGAUCGGCCACACUGGGACUGAAACACGGCCCAAACUCCUACGGGAGGCAGCAUUAGGGAAUCUUCCGCAAUGGACAAAAGUCUGACGGACCAACGCCCCGGGAGUGAUGAAGGCUUUCGGGUCGUAAAACUCUGUUGUUAGGGAAAAACAAGUGCUAGUUGAAUAAGCUGGCACCUUGACGGUACCUAACCAAAAAGCCACGGCUAACUACUUGCCAGCAGCCGCGGUAAUACUUAGGUGGCAAGCGUUAUCCGGAAUUAUUGGGCGUAAAGCGCGCGCAGGUGGUUUCUUAAGUCUGAUGUGAAAGCCCACGGCUCACCCGUGGAGGGUCAUUGGAAACUGGGAGACUUGAGUGCAGAAGAGGAAAGUGGAAUUCCAUGUGUAGCGGUGAAAUGCGUAGAGAUAUGGAGGAACACCAGUGGCGAAGGCGACUUUCUGGUCUGUAACUGACACUGAGGCGCGAAAGCGUGGGGAGCAAACAGGAUUAGAUACCCUGGUAGUCCACGCCGUAAACGAUGAGUGCUAAGUGUAAGGAGGGUUUCCGCCCUUUAGUGCUGAAGUUAACGCAUUAAGCACUCCGCCUGGGGAGUACGGCCCGCAAGGCUGAAACUCAAA